GAUGAACGCUGGCGGCGUGCCUAAUACAUGCAAGUCGAGCGAACAGACGAGGAGCUUGCUCCUCUGACGUUAGCGGCGGACGGGUGAGUAACACGUGGAUAACCUACCUAUAAGACUGGGAUAACUUCGGGAAACCGGUGCUAAUACCGGAUAAUAUAUUGAACCGCAUGGUUCAAUAGUGAAAGACGGUUUUGCUGUCACUUAUAGAUGGAUCCGCGCCGCAUUAGCUAGUUGGUAAGGUAACGGCUUACCAAGGCGACGAUGCGUAGCCGACCUGAGAGGGUGAUCAGCCACACUGGAACUGAGACACGGUCCAGACUCCUACGGGAGGCAGCAGUAGGGAAUCUUCCGCAAUGGGCGAAAGCCUGACGGAGCAACGCCGCGUGAGUGAUGAAGGUCUUCGGAUCGUAAAACUCUGUUAUUAGGGAAGAACAAAUGUGUAAGUAACUAUGCACGUCUUGACGGUACCUAAUCAGAAAGCCACGGCUAACUACGUG
This 497-nucleotide ribosomal RNA is filed under the name uncultured bacterium. RNAcentral's name for it is "partial 16S ribosomal RNA". It matches the Rfam family "Bacterial small subunit ribosomal RNA", at positions 28 to 507 of the family's 1533-position model. The record is from RNAcentral.